RNAcentral lists this non-coding RNA (31 nucleotides) under Mus musculus (house mouse). The record is from RNAcentral. Lineage: Eukaryota; Metazoa; Chordata; Mammalia; Rodentia; Muridae.
UGCACCACUUCGCUGUAAUGAAAACAGCUGC